Cyprinus carpio carpio is the source of this 1330-nucleotide long non-coding RNA. NCBI's taxonomy places the organism in Eukaryota, Metazoa, Chordata, Actinopteri, Cypriniformes, Cyprinidae. The record is from Ensembl.
GGCAAUUCAGUCAAAAGUACAAAGGCAGCGCUCUGAUAUACUGCAUUAAAGUUAAAUAAAAAUAGUUAUGAGCCUUUGCUAUCAGCCAAAAUUUACUCUGGAGCAAACAAUAUUUUAAUGAGACCAAAGAUGAUGGUGAUUUAUAAUGAAUUAUAUUUCAUGUUUAACCACUAUAGAGACGUAAGAGCCGGUGGCAAAUUCUAGCAGAUCUGGCCGAGGUGAGGCUGCUCUCGGCGGGUUCAUGAGCGCUGAACAGCCGGAAACGGUUAGAGAUCUGUUAUCAGUAGAUUUUAGGACCAGAAAAAACAGUUAUACACACACACAGACAUAUUUACACAUUCAUCAGUAAAUCAAUACAUUUAUCAAUAAAUAUAUUUUAUUCAGUAACGUACAUUACGACACAUAUGGCUUUAUAUACAUGUGCAUUAUUUAUGUUAAAAAAAAUGUACAUUAAAUCCAAAAACAAUCAAGUUUUUGACAUUCAUCCUCUUGCCAGUACUCUUGGUUCUUACAUUCUGAGGGAAUACCUGUAUUAAAUCCCUUUAAAGUACAUGAGACAUAAUCAAGAUAUCACAAUUUUCAACAGGAAGAGUUUGCGUUGGCUAGCAAAUGUUCGUUUUUCCAGAUCACAUCAGACAGUGCACUUCAGUAAUUUAAUGCUAAACACUGCACUGUUCACUCCUUCACAAGAAUAUUGAAUAUUUUUCUUAUUAGGGUGACUUUUGUGCAUGAGUUUGGUAUAAUGAGUCUUGCCUAUAGACACAACACAGCUUUCUUAUGUGCAUUCCUAAGUGUUAAGACUGAACUAUGGCAUAUAACCUGUUCAAUUAGAGCUGUGUGAAAUUAAGGAAAGAAUGUUGUUUGAGAUCCAAUUGACCUAGUGUCAAAAAGUGAGUUGUUAAGAGUGCUGGAGGAAGAGAUUUGGUUCCACACAACAGAGUUUGGCCCAAAACAUACCUUCUCCAAGUAAAUGAACACAAUCCCUUAAAGCUACACAGCUCAAUCUUGUGUGCCGUUUUGCGUUUUGAAUUACAGUUUUGACACAUUUCAGAUUGCAAGUAUGUGUUUCUUUCUCAGCAUUGCUGUAAGAAGCAUUAUAGCAGAUAGUAAAGUCUUCAGGUGAGAUUUAUUUUCUUUCAGAUCAACUAUUGCAAAUCAAAAGCUUGAAAGAUGUUGCUGAGAAAGUUUUAUGUGUUUGAAGCUAAUGUGGUUCAAUGGCACAAGCACUGAAGGUAAAACUAUUGCUCUCGUAAAUAUUGAUUAUUGAGAGCAACAUUUGAAGAGCUCAUGUUAUGCAUGCACUGGCAACACAUUCACGUCAUUAUUUGCA